GAUUAAUAAUCACCUUUCUAUUGCAGUACAUCAUAGCUUUCUUUUGUUGUCUUUGUACAUUAUAAUAUGUACAGUUCUCAAUUUUUCAUCAGCAACUAACAUAAAUUCUUCCUACCUGAUGUCAAAGAAAUUCAGUUGCUGUGUGAGCUGGAGAAGGUGGAAAAACUUCCUGUUAGCUCACAAGAGAGACAGAUGAGUCAUUAGGGCACAAGCUGUUCUGUCUUUUAGGACAUAAUUCUCUUAUCAAUUCAUUACACAUUGUUCAUACAAAACAAACAGUGUCCCCAGAAUAAGUCUUAUUUUAUGUUAAAGCUCUUCGCGCAGAUGGUGUUUGACAGGCUAUCUGACGAGACAGCCAUACUAAUGGGAUGCCAGCUCUGGAAUUCCUGUUGCUUGGGAAAGAGAACUCUGUAACAAUCAGAGUUCGAUGUUGCUCCGGGCGUUCUCUUUGUAGAUGAUAAAUGCUACUACACAACUGUUUGCCCCAUGCGGAGAUGCACAGCUGUGCUACACCAGAAAAGCAGCAUAUUUCUACAGUGCUAUUUCAGUAGAUUGUGCUGCACACUUUCGCAACUUCCAUGUCAAACCAGCAGAGGGUACUCUUAAGCUUCCAAGAAGAUGUUAAAUUGCUUCAUGAGGCCAAAACGUCAAACUGGGUACCGAGGGAAGGGGACAGAAAUGUCCCCUCUUUAAUGACAAUAUAUGAGCCUGAUCACAGAGACUGUUGGAGGAUCCGACAGACCAUUAAGCUGAUUGGCAGUCUCACUAAUCCUGAUGUUAGAACACUUGAAGGUCUUCAUCUCGCCUUAACAGCAUUCCUUCAUCCCAGCAGCAUCACAGAAAUGUCUGAGGAAAGGCACUGGAACAAGAUAAAUAUCUGGUGAUAAAUUUUAAGAUACUCUACCAGUCAGCCAGAGGCAUCUAGAGGUGGAGAAACAAAGCACUGAUGAGUCCAUGAAUUUCCCGGAAUCACCCAGGAAAUGUUUGUGCUUCUGUUGAUCUGUGUCUCUUGACAGGAUGAAUGCUUGUUGGAGUGUUUUCAGCCUGGCCAGCUCCUGUAUAGGUGUGUCAGGACACCUGAGGACAUAGAGAGUGGGCAGUCACCACAAGGAGCUGCUGUCCUUGUCUGGCCCAGCAGGGCUCACCUGCCAGCACACAACAUGAGGGAGAUAUCUUUCAGGUCUAUGCAAGGCUAGAGACAAAGACUGAAGCCUGACAAAAUCAAGAGAGAGCGAGCAGAUGAGUACAUCAACAGAAGAUGCUUUAAGAGGGUCAUGACACAUGCCUUUUUUUCAUAGAAUUGUAGAACCACUAGGGUUGGAAAAAACUUCUAAAACCAUCAGGUUCCACCAACAGCCCAUCACCACCAUGCCCACGGUACCACGUCCCUAAGUGCCACAUCUACUCUGUUCUUGAACACUGCCAGGGUCGGUGAUGCCACCGCUUCCCUGGGCAGCCUGUUCCUAGGCCUUCUCCCAUUUUAAGCCAAAUUUCUGUUCCCACGAUGUUGAACAGUUACCAUAUUUCCUUUCUCUGAGGAGUUUUUAAAUACACUAUACCACAAAAGUGAUUAAAAGAGGCCUGUGCCUUUUGCGCUUAAGGAAAAUCCUUCUGGAUGCUGGGGAUUUAAAUGCCAAGAACAGACUUGAACAUGUCAUGUCCUAUGGGUGUCCCAGUUGAAUACCAGCUUUUAGCUUAACCAAACCCACAAUCAUCUUUAUAUUCCUCUCUCCUUUAUUUUUUUUGGAGCUGAAAGUAAUAAUUUAACACAAUCUGUGGCCAGAUAAGCUACAGCCAUAGGAUGCCACGCAGCACCAGUGUGAAGAGAACAUCAGCCAAUUCACAACUGCAAAGGACAGGCCUUCAAGAUUUGUAUUUCUUUAAGUUUUCUUCCUUACCAUUAUAAUAUCCAUUUAAUUGGUAAUGUACACAAUUUAUGCCUUUCUGAAAUAAAAUACAUGAAAGCAGAAAAGUAAGAGCUGUA
This is a long non-coding RNA of Numida meleagris (helmeted guineafowl), 1984 nucleotides long. The record is from Ensembl. Lineage: Eukaryota; Metazoa; Chordata; Aves; Galliformes; Numididae.